GAAUGACAGUAAAAACACUUUCAGUAGUGACAAUCUGACCUGAAUAUUUUAAGUACUGUAUAAUGUGUUUGAUGCUAGAAUUACAAAAAUUCAUUGUCUUUAUGUUUUGAAGGUCAAAAACCACAGAUGAGCUGUUCUGAUUUGGGUGACUACUUUGUCUUAACUUGCUCUUUGCCUGAAUCUGUUGAACGUGGUACAAAAUGUAACUUGUACAUUGGAGAAGCACAUCAUCCAGUCUCAACAACACCCAUCAUGAAGAAAACCACCUCAAAAAAACAGCAGUUGUGUCAGUUUUAUAUCACGAGAGGCGUUUUGCUGAAACACCUACAAUUAGUUCAGCUAAAGGAGGCCAGCUGUGAUUACAGCCUGGAACAUGAACCCAACUUUGCUUCUGCUCGUAGUGAUGGAUGCAGCUUGACUGAUUCAUUUUCUGGUAUAAAAACACAAGGUGGGUGUGAGUUUAAUAAUGGUUUUGUUAUUAAUCAUAUGAUCCAACAUAAUUUUACCAUUAACAUUUCAGGUCUGGUUCCACCUGAGCUGACAGUGACUCCACUGGUGAUCACAGAGUCAGACUCAGUCACUGUGAACUGUCAGACUCCAUCAUCUGUUCCUGUGUCUCAGUGUCACUUCACUGUGACGGGACAUUUACGUCUUGGAGACUCGUCUUGUCUUCAGACAGUGACAGGAGCUGAUCUGUUGCACAUGACAGGUCAGAGGUCACCUGCUGAGGUCAAACUUACAUGUUAUUACACUGUGAAGCUUGGAGAGAGAGAGUCUACAUCCACAGACAGUCAAACAUCAUCCAUCACCAUAAACUCUCUUCACCAGCCUGAGCUGACAGUGACUCCACUGGUGAUCACAGAGUCAGACUCAGUCACUGUGAACUGUCAGACUCCAUCAUCUGUUCCUGUCUAUCAGUGUUGGCUCUACUCAGUGAGGGAUCAAACCUCCAGAGUCGUCUCUUGUCAUCAGACACUGACAGGAACUGAGCUGAUGAAAAUGACUCAAAGUUCACCUGUUGAGAUUGAAGUUACAUGUUAUUACAGUGUAGAGCGAAGAGGAACUAUAUCUCUGUCUCAAUUCAGUAACUCUAUCAUCAUACAGAGUAAGUAGCUACUGGGAUACGUUUUAUUACAGCUUAUUACAAUAUUAACUAGUAUCAAAUUCGUACCAUCACCUGCUUCA
This 1185-nucleotide long non-coding RNA is filed under the name Betta splendens (Siamese fighting fish). RNAcentral describes it as "lncRNA (ENSBSLG00000000667.1)". The record is from RNAcentral. Lineage: Eukaryota; Metazoa; Chordata; Actinopteri; Anabantiformes; Osphronemidae.